GGCCUUGACAUACUAAGAACUUUCCAGAGAUGGAUUGGUGCCUUCGGGAACUUAGAUACAGGUGCUGCAUGGCUGUCGUCAGCUCGUGUCGUGAGAUGUUGGGUUAAGUCCGCAACGAGCGCAACCCUUUUCCUAUUUGCCAGCGGGUAAUGCCGGGAACUUUAAGGAUACUGCCAGUGACAAACUGGAGGAAGGCGGGGACGACGUCAAGUCAUCAUGGCCCUUACGGCCAGGGCUACACACGUGCUACAAUGGUCGGUACAAAGGGUUGCUACCUCGCGAGAGGAUGCUAAUCUCAAAAAGCCGAUCGUAGUCCGGAUCGCAGUCUGCAACUCGACUGCGUGAAGUCGGAAUCGCUAGUAAUCGCGGAUCAGAAUGCCGCGGUGAAUACGUUCCCGGGCCUUGUACACACCGCCCGUCACACCAUGGGAGUUUGUUGCACCAGAAGUAGGUAGUCUAACCGCAAGGAGGACGCUUACCACGGUGUGGCCGAUGACUGGGGUGAAGUCGUAACAAGGUAAGCGUAGAUGA
This 531-nucleotide ribosomal RNA is filed under the name uncultured bacterium. RNAcentral's name for it is "bacterial SSU rRNA". It matches the Rfam family "Bacterial small subunit ribosomal RNA", at positions 977 to 1509 of the family's 1533-position model. The record is from RNAcentral.